This 484-nucleotide long non-coding RNA is filed under the name Mytilus galloprovincialis (Mediterranean mussel). Lineage: Eukaryota; Metazoa; Mollusca; Bivalvia; Mytilida; Mytilidae. The record is from RNAcentral.
AUUAUUAGCAUUUAUCAUAUACUUAGCAUUAAUAUGAUAGCUUUUGCAUAUGUGUAAUGGGCGGAAGUGCACAAGCCAUAUCUUCCCACCCGGGCUGAUAACCCAUAUCAAGUGCCUCUCGUGCAAAAAACCCAUAUCAGUGCCUCUCGUGCAAGUUACUUCCGGUGUUUCCGGUAUCGGUUGUUUACUCUUCCAUUGUGACGUCAGAUGUUUUUUAUGACGACGUCAAAAUUUACGGGAACUUUUGUGGGGAUAGUUUUUAAAUACUUGCUAACAAAUGCCAUUGACAAUUAUGAAUCAUUUUAUAGUACAACAAACAUGGAGUAGUAAUGAUCGUAAAACUCUUCUAAAUUUUCAAUGUUUCAAAAUGCCUCUAUAGGAAAUGUUACCAUAAAUAUAUAAGGAGUUAAUGAUGCUGUUGUUGGACAACUAUAGUAUAUUUGAUUCAUAAUUUUAAUUUUCUUUAUAAAAUGUUUGACUGUUU